CCAGCCCCGCCCCGCGCCACCGCGCCAGCCAAUCCUUGGGAGGGUUCCGCCCAUUCUCUUGCCCCAUUGGGGAAAUUCAAUUUGGAGGCCGCGCCCCCAGGGCAGGUCCCGCCCCAUGCGGUCCUGGUUGUAGGGGAUUGUAGUCUUGCGGCCCCGCGACCUUGGCUGGUUGGGCAGGGGACAGCAGGAGGACGGAGCUUCGCACCAAAGUCGCGAAGGGUUGUGGAUGAAGCCAGGUCUCCAGCCUGGGUGUGGAUUCCCCCAGGGUAGCUCCUCCCUUCUGAAGUGAAGUCAAUCCUCCAAUGGGAUUCAACCGUAAGCCCCCACUGGGCCUGUGGAAUUUUGGACCUUGAAGAAAGAAUGCCCUACUUUCCACCAAGGAGCAAUCAGGAUUCUGGAAUAUGACCAAUCAGGAUUCUGGAAUAUGACCAAUCAGAUCUUAUUUAUUUGACAGAGAAAGACAGAGAGAGAGCACAAGCAGGGAGAGCAGCAGGCAGAGGGACAAGUGGACUCCCCAGUGAGCAGGGAACCCGACGCGGGGCUCGAUCCCGGGAACUUGGGAUCGUGACCUGCGCCGAAGGUGGACGCUCAACCGACGGAGCCACCCAGGUGCCCCAUCCACCGAUUUUCCACCCUCCGCUGGUCAAGGGCUCUUCUGGGGUGCCAUGCCUUGCCACUUCCAGCUUACCCGCAGCGGCAACAGGGUGAAAGAAAAAUGGUGAUUUGAGAAGCCUGUUUUAAGAUCCUGGAUGUCACUGGCCCCGGAAUUCCAGGUCUCCCGUGAUGCAGACCACCACGAGAUGCUUCUGGAAAAUACAGCGGCCUGGGACCCAUCCUGGGAGAGUCUGAUUCUCUGGGCAUAGGGAGACCUGGGCCCAGCCGUGUCUGCUCAUCCCCACCACUGCCAGAAGGUCUUCAACGACAGCAGGUGAACCAGAACAGCACUCCUCCCCAACAGAUGGCAGCAAUGGGGAUUGAGCAGGAACCUCAGCAUCCCCAGGAGAACGAAGCAGUUGAUAAUAGCUUUGCAAGGGCUCAGAAAAUUAAGCUGCCAUUAGAACUCAAGCCCACAGAAACAGGCCAGAACUUACACCUCAACAGGGAGAUCGAUAAAAUACAAGAUUUCCGUAGGAUCAAGAGCCUCCUGGGGUGCCUGGGUGGCACAGUGGUUAAGCGUCUUGCCUUUGGCUCAGGGCGUGAUCCCAGCGUUGUGGGAUCGAGCCCCACAUCAGGCUCUUCCGCUGUGAGCCUGCUUC
This is a long non-coding RNA of Ailuropoda melanoleuca (giant panda), 1256 nucleotides long. RefSeq lists it as uncharacterized. The transcript is spliced from 5 exons. Lineage: Eukaryota; Metazoa; Chordata; Mammalia; Carnivora; Ursidae. The record is from RefSeq and is a predicted model, not a curated record.